Daphnia pulex (common water flea) is the source of this 1113-nucleotide long non-coding RNA. RefSeq lists it as uncharacterized. Lineage: Eukaryota; Metazoa; Arthropoda; Branchiopoda; Diplostraca; Daphniidae. The record is from RefSeq and is a predicted model, not a curated record. The transcript has 3 exons.
UUCUCGCUGUGUUGGCUUCCCUAUCCCGGUUUUAGGGUAAACGUAUCCCCGAUUUUCAGACAUUUUAGGGCGGAGCUUGUCAGAAGUUGUGAAGUGGUAAAAAUGAGACAGCGCCAUCUAGUGAUAAGACGUUGACUUUCAAAUAAUACUUUCGGCGGCCAUUUUUGUGUAAUAUGUGAAUACGGCGGCCAUCAUCGGGAAUACGUGAAUGAAGCCUAACCAUAAUUUCUGUAAAAAUGGUUUGCAGGUGUGCUGUUCCUGGUUGUAAAUCAACAUAUUUCAAAGGAAAUCAAAAAGAAAACGAGGUUACCCUGUUUGCAAUUCCUAAAACUUCAUUAUCUAAAUGGCGAGAACUAAUUCCAUGUAGUUAUUUGACGAGCACCUCACGUAUUUGCUCCCGUCAUUUUGACGAAAGUGACUUCAAAUCAGGGAUUUAAAUUUUGAACGUGUUCCAUCCUUUCAAACGUAGGAAUCGUAAUGCUGGAGCAAUUCCCAAACAUUUUCUGAUAAAUGAUACACCUAGUCGACAAGCAAUGCAAAAUGUUGAUGGUUUCAAAUGGAGAAAUAACAUAAAUGGUAUUUUUAAAUAUGUUUAUUUUGUUUAAUAUCAAAUAACGCAAUUCUUAAAUAUGUAUUGUAGUGGAAACAAAUGCUAGCAAUGCAUCAGUAAGGAAACGACCAAAAGUAGACAAAAUACCUACUACGUCUAAGAGAAAAAAAUUUGACAGUACAGCACCCUCCAUGGAAAUUACCUCUACUAUUAAAGAAUCAAUCAACAUUCCCCAGGCUGCUGAAGAAGCAAUUUUUGAUCCACUUCCAGAUUCAAUCAAGGAAAAUGUUGCUGUUGUCAUUGAAGAUUCGACAGUUACAUCACCUUCUAUGGAAGCAAGCUCUACUAAUUUCAAGUCUAAUUUUGUGACAUUUCAGUCACUAGUAACUUCAUCAAUGGUACCAAAGAAUUGGACAUGGUAUUUUGAUCAAAUUAAACAAACGAUUUUUUGCAUUUCGAUGGAUCAACUACCAAAUGAAAAUUAUAAUGUGAAAAGUGUACAUUUUCAAAACAAGAAGUAGUGUAUUAUGUCAACGGAACAAUAAACAAUUUACACAACCAAA